CAGGUAAAGACCAACCUCUCUGGAAUCCCAUGAGGUAUGCAUCUCUGGGCUGGCACUGGACCAUUAAUAAUUACUUACCGAGAAAGGCCUUCUAAGCCCUAAUGAGUCCAUCCAAUGAGAAGAUGAUUUCAGGAUGUAGUUCUUUAAUUGCCCAACGUCAAGCAAGACAAAACUUAAAAAUGUACGCUCGUUGGACUAGUGAAUUGUAUUUCUUAACAACCAAAAGCCUGGCCCUAAGGACAUGAGAUUCCAAAUGGCUAACCUGCAAAUUGGAGCACAAGAGGAACAGAGGGAAGAGGGAUUAGAUUUCAGGAAGAAAAGCAAACAAGGAAAAGUACUUCUGAAGUUCCCCAGCACAUCAGUUGCCUCAACAUAGUAAAUCCAGGCAAAGAAAUGCCAAGACUCCACUAGCUCAGCCCCAACCCUCUGGUAAGGUCAAAAUACUGCAGGAGGGGAAUUAGCCAGUAACUGUUUCCACCAUCAUGCCCUGCUCUCCAUGUACCUGCCCAGUUGUGAGAUCCUUAGCUUGAGUGUUAGGAUGUCAUUUUCUCUACAAGCACUCGGUCAAUUAUAAAGUACUUGGCAUUGUGGGAGAGCAUUUCUUUCUGACCUCUGUCAGCAGAUGCUUGAUCUCUAGAAGCCUGGGGGGAUUGAUUACCUUCUGGUAACCACAGUUGCCAAUCUCACUGAGACAGUUGGGGAGAAGAGAAGGGCAGAGGGGUAGGCAAUCUUAUUGCUCCUGGUGGACAAAUCCAUUGAUGAAUUGCCUCCUGGGGAAGAUGGAAAAAAGAGUGUGCAAUGAUUUGUGUAUU
This 812-nucleotide long non-coding RNA is filed under the name Felis catus (domestic cat). RNAcentral's name for it is "lncRNA (ENSFCAG00000046147.2)". Lineage: Eukaryota; Metazoa; Chordata; Mammalia; Carnivora; Felidae. The record is from RNAcentral.